RNAcentral lists this unclassified non-coding RNA (255 nucleotides) under uncultured fungus. RNAcentral describes it as "partial contains 18S rRNA, ITS1, 5.8S rRNA, ITS2 and 28S rRNA". Lineage: Eukaryota; Fungi. The record is from RNAcentral.
AAGGAUCAUUAGCGAACUCGACGGCCGGGGGUGGGUUGUGCUGGCGCCUUGCGGCGCACGUGCACGCCCGCCCUCGACGUCCGCUUUCCACACACGCACCUGUGCACCUUUUUGCUUGCCGGGACACGGGGGGGCCGACGCGCCCCCGGGCCCCCGGCGGCCGAACAACACACCAGCCAUUGUCUUGUCGGAUGUGAAUCGCGGAAAGCGAAAACAAAAAUAAUACAACUUUUAACAACGGAUCUCUUGGUUCUC